CCGCCGUGGCGCUCCCAGCGUCGCCGCCGCCGCCACCGCCUCCCUCCGCCGUCUUCUCCAUGGCCGCCCACGCCGAUCCGCGCCGAAUGCUUUCUGCGAGCUUCUCAGCUGGUGUGACUUUAUGAGUAAAGAAAGUCUAGGCAGAUUCUGACUUACACAAGUUCAGCGUUAGCCUGAAAGAACUGCUGAGAGACACAGCAGUAAUGUUCAUCAAGGGACUGCACCUCUCUACAUGCACAAGGCACAGUGCCAUCAACAACUUCCUUGAGAUGGAAUGGAAUUUUUUCACUAUUGGAAACAAGAACAGCCACAACAGAGACAGACUGCUGAAAAGGAUGAACCACAGAGGCUCAAGUACGAACUUUCAGAGUAAGUAGAGCACAUCUGUUGGGAUCAUUAGUGAAGUGAAGUGAAGUGAAGUGAAGUGAAGUGAAGUGAAGUGAAGUGAAGUGAAGUUGAAGUGAAGAUCAUACGUGAAGUAGCUCACAACUAAAGGUAAGCAUAAGUGGAACAGAUUCACAGUUUAUAAAAAAUGAAAACAUACUAAAAAUAUAUUAAAAUCAUUAGGAAAUUAAGUACAUAAAUGAAAAUAUAGUUGGAAAAAAAAAAUCAAUGCUCUGUAUGCUAUUGGCACUUCCACAUACAUCAGCUCUGCCGACUGUUUUCAAAUGGCAUCUUAAAGAAAGCAAGCAGACAACGAGAAGAUGAGGUUCUGCUGGUGUAUCAGUGGGAUACAAAAGAACAAAAAUACAUGGGUCAUGAAAUUUGGAAUGACAGAGGCUGAAGAGCUCAGGCAGCAGCACAGAAAUUGAACACUGAGUGCCACGUAGUUUCUAGGGCAGAAGUGAAUGUGCUGGAUUCCAAAGGCCUCCGGUGAAUUAUGUAAGAGGAAGAAAAAAAGAUUGCCACUG
Lagopus muta (rock ptarmigan) is the source of this 911-nucleotide long non-coding RNA. RefSeq lists it as uncharacterized. The transcript is spliced from 3 exons. The record is from RefSeq and is a predicted model, not a curated record. NCBI's taxonomy places the organism in Eukaryota, Metazoa, Chordata, Aves, Galliformes, Phasianidae.